Molecule: non-coding RNA, 375 nt
Organism: Scomber scombrus (Atlantic mackerel)
Lineage: Eukaryota; Metazoa; Chordata; Actinopteri; Scombriformes; Scombridae
Source: the annotation of a RefSeq genome assembly
AUGCUGUCAAUGGAUCAUUGUCUACUUUCUUUGGUGUUUCUAUCCAUUUUAACAGGUGUCAGCUGUGAAGAACUCACUCCAGUCAACAAUGAAGAGUUCAGUUUAGAAGGCAGCUCUGUUACUCUGUCCUACAAUUACUCCAAAGAAGCUGAUGGUUAUGAUCAUUUCUUCUGGUAUCGACAAUAUCCAGGAAAACCACCAGAGUUCCUCAUGUACAUCUCAGGCAGUAACAUCACAAAAACAGCAGACUCUCUGAAGUCAGAAAAAAGAUUCUUAACUGAACUAUAUGAUAAAAAGCGUGGAGUCAAACUGCAGAUCUCCUCUGCUGCAGUGACAGACUCUGCUGUGUACUACUGUGCUCUGCGGCCCACAGUG